Molecule: ribosomal RNA, 301 nt
Filed under: uncultured bacterium
Lineage: Bacteria
Description: partial 16S ribosomal RNA
Rfam family: Bacterial small subunit ribosomal RNA
Source: RNAcentral
CAGUCGCCGCGGUAAUACGGAGUGGGCUAGCGUUAUUCGGAAUUACUGGGCGUAAAGCGCACGUAGGCGGAUCAGAAAGUCAGAGGUGAAAUCCCAGGGCUCAACCUUGGAACUGCCUUUGAAACUCCUGAUCUUGAGGUCGAGAGAGGUGAGUGGAAUUCCGAGUGUAGAGGUGAAAUUCGUAGAUAUUCGGAGGAACACCAGUGGCGAAGGCGGCUCACUGGCUCGAUACUGACGCUGAGGUGCGAAAGCGUGGGGAGCAAACAGGAUUAGAUACCCCAGUAGUCCCUGUCUCUUAUAC